GAUGAACGCUGGCGGCGUGCCUAAUACAUGCAAGUCGAGCGAACAGACGAGGAGCUUGCUCCUCUGACGUUAGCGGCGGACGGGUGAGUAACACGUGGAUAACCUACCUAUAAGACUGGGAUAACUUCGGGAAACCGGAGCUAAUACCGGAUAAUAUAUUGAACCGCAUGGUUCAAUAGUGAAAGACGGUUUUGCUAUCACUUAUAGAUGGAUCCGCGCCGCAUUAGCUAGUUGGUAAGGUAACGGCUUACCAAGGCAACGAUGCGUAGCCGACCUGAGAGGGUGAUCGGCCACACUGGAACUGAGACACGGUCCAGACUCCUACGGGAGGCAGCAGUAGGGAAUCUUCCGCAAUGGGCGAAAGCUUGACGGAGCAACGCCGCGUGAGUGAUGAAGGUCUUCGGAUCGUAAAACUCUGUUAUUAGGGAAGAACAAAUGUGUAAGUAACUAUGCACGUCUUGACGGUACCUAAUCAGAAAGCCACGGCUAACUACGUG
This 497-nucleotide ribosomal RNA is filed under the name uncultured bacterium. Its description in RNAcentral is "partial 16S ribosomal RNA". It matches the Rfam family "Bacterial small subunit ribosomal RNA", at positions 28 to 507 of the family's 1533-position model. The record is from RNAcentral.